Molecule: long non-coding RNA, 576 nt
Filed under: Triticum aestivum (bread wheat)
Lineage: Eukaryota; Viridiplantae; Streptophyta; Magnoliopsida; Poales; Poaceae
Description: long non-coding RNA (TAES_LNC027347)
Source: RNAcentral
AAAUUAUACAGGUGAACAUGAACGUUUCAGAAAUUUUUGUUUGGUGACUAUGGCGAUUUGUUCUAUGCCGAUUCAUUUAGUAAUAAUCACCCAAUGACAAAUUAGGCAGAACACCAUGACUAGCCACUGAAUUCUGGUCAUCAAGUUGUUGGUCAUCUAACUACUCCCUCCAUUCACUUUUAUAAGUCAUUUCAGACAACUGAAAAUAGGCUGCUUUGCAUGUUGUCUGAAAUGUCUUCAAGGACUUAUAAAAGUGAACAGAGGGAGUAUCUUUUUUAUCAAGAUGGAUGCUCCGCCCAAAAUAUGUGUGUCUGUCGGUGACUACGAGGUGUCUCCUCACUUCUCCAUUUCAGUUACGUGGUGCAUAGCCAAACCAAGAUCAAUCUCCCAUGCUCAAGGUCAUCUGCAAUUGGAAUCACCAUUUUUGCACCCAACUACUUGAAACCUAAGGUAUAUAAUGAGAAGACAUGGUCAUUAUGCUUGAUUUUCUUCAGAGACAUGGAUAUGUUAUUUUUAUUUUAUCCCAUAAUGUAUCUUUCCUUCCUGAAAUAUGAAAAUGCAUUCAGGGACCAUGUG